AUGUUUGAUUGUUGUUUUGGGAUCUCAAGAUCAGGUUCUUUUCUGUUCAUUGUUUCGCCUUUGUCUCAGGUUUUGCUGUCGACUGCGUGUGUUUUCAGCACCAGUAAAGUCUUGCUAUUACAGGAUCAGAGUCGUUGUAGACUGGGAGGCAAUAAAAACUAUCAGGCCCGUUCGUGCUGUGUUGGGUUCAGCCCAGUUACAAGACAAAGGAAGAGGAGAUGGAUACAAGAAGUCGAGAAGAUGCCCUUCUCUCUGUUUCUAAAUUACAGAGUACCUCGCCUGGAUCUGGAGGUGCAGUUACGGCGAACUCGACAUAGUCAAGGAUGGGAAAGAACCAUGGAAAUAAGAAAGGGCUCAGGUGGUAAGCACAUUGAAAGGAUCGACGGUUGA
RNAcentral lists this ribosomal RNA (390 nucleotides) under Triticum aestivum (bread wheat). Its description in RNAcentral is "partial small subunit ribosomal RNA". Lineage: Eukaryota; Viridiplantae; Streptophyta; Magnoliopsida; Poales; Poaceae. The record is from RNAcentral.